UACGUAGGGUGCGAGCGUUAUUCGGAAUUACUGGGCGUAAAGCGUGCGCAGGCGGUUUUGUAAGUCGGAUGUGAAAGCCCGGGGCUCAACCUGGGAAUUGCAUUGGAUACUGGCAGGCUAGAGUGCGGUAGAGGGUAGUGGAAUUCCCGGUGUAGCAGUGAAAUGCGUAGAGAUCGGGAGGAACAUCCGUGGCGAAGGCGACUACCUGGACCAGCACUGACACUGAGGUACGAAAGCGUGGGGAGCAAACAGG
Molecule: ribosomal RNA, 253 nt
Filed under: uncultured bacterium
Lineage: Bacteria
Description: partial 16S ribosomal RNA
Rfam family: Bacterial small subunit ribosomal RNA
Source: RNAcentral